This 1242-nucleotide ribosomal RNA is filed under the name metagenome. Its description in RNAcentral is "bacterial LSU rRNA". It matches the Rfam family "Bacterial large subunit ribosomal RNA", at positions 1564 to 2816 of the family's 2925-position model. The record is from RNAcentral.
UGAGUACGAGAUGCUACGGCAUCGAAGCAGUCUAUGUCAUACUUCCAAGAAAAGCUUGCACUGUCAGAAACAGAUAAUGCCUGUACCAUAACCGACACAGGUGGGUAGGUAGAGUAUACUAAGGGGCGCGAGAUAACUCUCUCUAAGGAACUCGGCAAAAUGACUCCGUAACUUCGGGAGAAGGAGUGCCUUAUUUUUAAGGUUGCAAUAACAAGAUCCAAGCAACUGUUUACCAAAAACACAGGUCUCCGCUAGGUCGUAAGACGAUGUAUGGGGGCUGACGCCUGCCCAGUGCCAGAAGGUUAAAGAAGUCGGUUAGCAUUCGCGAAGCUGGUAACUGAAGCCCUGGUGAACGGCGGCCGUAACUAUAACGGUCCUAAGGUAGCGAAAUUCCUUGUCGGGUAAGUUCCGACCCGCACGAAAGGCGUAAUGAUUUGGAUACUGUCUCGGAGAGGGGCUCGGUGAAAUAGACUUGUCUGUGAAGAUGCGGACUACCUGCACCUGGACAGAAAGACCCUAUGAAGCUUUACUGUAACUUGAAAUUGAAAUUGGACUUUAUUUGCGCAGUAUAGGUGGGAGGCGUUGAAAAUAUUCUUGCGGGAAUAUUGGAGCCAUCAGUGAGAUACCACUCUUGUAAUGUUAGAUUUCUAACUUUAUAUCAUUAUCUGGUUAAAGAACAGUUUCAGGCGGGCAGUUUGACUGGGGCGGUCGCCUCCCAAAUGGUAACGGAGGCGCACAAAGGUUUCCUCUGAACGGGUAGAAAUCGUAUCUAGAGUGUAAAGGCAUAAGGAAGCUUGACUGUGAGACCUACAAGUCGAGCAGGGACGAAAGUCGGUCUUAGUGAUCUGACGGUGCUGAGUGGAAAGGCCGUCACUCAACGGAUAAAAGUUACUCUAGGAUAACAGGCUGAUCUCCCCCAAGAGUUCACAUCGACGGGGAGGUUUGGCACCUCGAUGUCGGCUCAUCGCAUCCUGGGGCGGUAGUACGUCCCAAGGGUUGGGCUGUUCGCCCAUGAAAGCGGUACGCGAGCUGGGUUCAGAACGUCGUGAGACAGUUCGGUCCAUAUCCGGUGUAGGCGUUAGAAGAUUGAGAGGAGCCUUCUUUAGUACGAGAGGACCGAGAAGGACAUACCUCUGGUGUACCAGUUAUCGUGCCAACGGUAAACGCUGGGUAGCUAUGUAUGGAGUGGAUAACCGCUGAAAGCAUCUAAGUGGGAAGCCCACCUCAAGAUAAGUAUUCUCA